UUUGACGCAAACACUCAACGAUAUCGGCACGGAUUCCAUCGCUAAAAGGUCACCAGAGACUCUCUCGGACAGCUACUUG
RNAcentral lists this transfer RNA (79 nucleotides) under Thalassiosira minuscula. The record is from RNAcentral. Lineage: Eukaryota; Bacillariophyta; Thalassiosirophyceae; Thalassiosirales; Thalassiosiraceae.